UCCCCCUUUCCUGUUUAGAGACAUUCGAGAGCUUAUUGUUUGAACUUUAAAGGACUAUAUCUGUGAAUUCUAUAUUGACUAAGUCAACAUGGGGAGGGUUUCCAGAAGAAAGCAAUUGGAGUUGCCUUUCCCCCACUGUCACAAACAUCCUCCACCAGACAUGAUCCAACAACUACAAAUGACCAGGGAUUAAGCGAGCCUUACGAAACCUCUGCUGAGCUCACACCACCCCGCCUCCGGUCAGGAGUGGAGAGACGAAUUGGAGCCAGGACCAGCUGCAAUUCAUCAUCAUCAACAUUGUACUUAAGCCGGUCCCGAACGCCACCUUGUCACCAGAUCAUCUUGAGUAGUCAUACUAACCUCCACUUCUGCUUCCUCGCCUACGCACCUGCCUGGCUGUGGAUUCCCUUGUCUGGCCGAGACUCAGCGUCCGAAGUCUAUGCUACUCCUACCUGGGUGUCAUCCCCCCUUGUUUGCCUGUUGCGUAGAAAUAAAC
Long non-coding RNA from Phyllopteryx taeniolatus (common seadragon), 496 nucleotides. RefSeq lists it as uncharacterized. The transcript is spliced from 3 exons. NCBI's taxonomy places the organism in Eukaryota, Metazoa, Chordata, Actinopteri, Syngnathiformes, Syngnathidae. The record is from RefSeq and is a predicted model, not a curated record.